Molecule: long non-coding RNA, 1681 nt
Organism: Cebus imitator (Panamanian white-faced capuchin)
Lineage: Eukaryota; Metazoa; Chordata; Mammalia; Primates; Cebidae
Exons: 2
Source: RefSeq, a predicted model, not a curated record
GGGGACGUGCAGAGACAUAGGAAGUGAACCUGAAGCCUGACACAUUCAAGGUCUGGGAACCGAACAUAAUAGGAAUUGUUCUUAUUUUUCCAACGGAAUCAAGCACAAAGAUGGGCAUGCCUCUUUGCAGAACCUUAGAUUCAGAACUGUGCCUUGCCCUUUGCUUAUGAGGCAGAGGAAGAGGUAGAAGAGGAAGAGAGAGAACUAUCACAAAGACAGAUGGCAUCAAAGUCUGUGGCCCAGGGUCACCACAAACCCAGGGGACCUGAGGCUGGGCCUGAGAGGCACAGGCAGGCUGAGGAACGGACAGAAGAGUGACACAGAGGCCUACAGGAUGGAAGCCAGCUCUGCAAAGAGCUUCUAAGAAGCUUCCUGCCACAGAAAUUCCACCUGGCCACAGGAAUAGCCCUGGCGCUGGGCCUGGAGGAAGGUGGCAAUGAGCUGCUCGCGGCAGUGACUUUUAGUCAGCACGUCUUACCUGUGCAUCCAAGGAUGGAGAGGCGGCUGUGAGUAGGUCACUGGGUCAGGCAGGUCACAAACCAAGCUCCUCCCAGAGGGAGUUCCCAGCUCUAGGGAUUCCUUAGGUCAAGGAGGGACAGGGUCCCUGUACUUGGGGACCCUCCAGUCUAAUGGGAAGAUACACUCAACCCUCUUAGAGCCCUAGAAUGAAUGCCACUGACAGUUCCUCUCUUCAGGAAGGAAAUCCAGUCUCAGGGAGGAGACAGGGCCCUCGUAUCAUUCUUGCCUUCUCAGCUGUGUAAUACAAGGGAGUGAAGGAAGUGGCAGGCCCUGGGACAGGUCCAUUUCUGUGAUGAAUGGAGGCUCUCAGGGGACCUUCCCACAGCCCUGCUGUCAAGGGCCCCAUCUCCGUCCUCCCGACCCUUCCUCCCUCCCUGCCCCGAUGCCUUACCCGCUGGAACAGAUCCUGAGCUCUGAGCCUAUUCCCAACGCAGGAAUGCUGGCCCCGUCCCGCUUUCCCUCCAACUCUGUUUUUUGUUUUUUCCCAUCCAGACUCCCCCUCCCCCACUUGCCAUUUCCCAAGCUGGCCUCGGGGAGACCAGACCCAACAGCCCACUGGUGAUCUUGUUUUACAUGAGACAUUUCCAAAAAAGACCAAAAAAUCCUUUCCAGGAAAAUGCCAUUUUUAAAAUUCAGCUCCAGACACUGCGGCAACAUUAGGAAAACAAAGGACUUGGCAGAAAUGUUUUCUGCAUGGAGACUUUCUCUAAUACCUUUUCCAAAUUGCCUCCAGUGGGGAUGUCUCCAAGGGUCAGUUCUGGAGCACCCAGGCAACUACAGACAGAUAGUAACUUCUCUUUUGUACACUGUCCCAAGUCUGUCCUUAUCUGAGAUCACCCUGGGAUCUUCCAGGCUUAAGCAGGGAGCCCCAAAGGCAGAAGAUGUCUCUGAGGGUCAAGAAAUAAUGCUGCUUCUUCCCUCUAGAGGGGACUCCUCAGCCCCCCUCUUGCCACCAUCACUAAGCUGGGGACCCAGGUUAGCAGCUGGAGGGACAUAGUGUGCUUAGUUGAGAGCUUAUCUCUCUUAUCAUCCAAGUGACAGGAAUACACAGCUUCCCCCAGGGCAUGCAUAGUGGUGUUCCCCUUUUUGCAUGUAUCAGGUAUAAUUGAUCAGGUUGAUGACAUAUAUAAUAAUGGUCAUUAUUUAUUAAACACCAUGUGUC